AGUGAACGCUGGCGGUAGGCCUAACACAUGCAAGUCGAACGGCAGCACAGUAAGAGCUUGCUCUUACGGGUGGCGAGUGGCGGACGGGUGAGGAAUACAUCGGAAUCUACUUUUUCGUGGGGGAUAACGUAGGGAAACUUACGCUAAUACCGCGUACGACCUACGGGUGAAAGCAGGGGAUCUUCGGACCUUGCGCGAUUGAAUGAGCCGAUGUCGGAUUAGCUAGUUGGCGGGGUAAAGGCCCACCAAGGCGACGAUCCGUAGCUGGUCUGAGAGGAUGAUCAGCCACACUGGAACUGGGACACGGUCCAGACUCCUACGGGAGGCAGCAGUGGGGAAUAUUGGACAAUGGGCGCAAGCCUGAUCCAGCCAUACCGCGUGGGUGAAGAAGGCCUUCGGGUUGUAAAGCCCUUUUGUUGGGAAAGAAAAGCAGCAGGUUAAUACCCCGCUGUUCUGACGGUACCCAAAGAAUAAGCACCGGCUAACUUCGUG
RNAcentral lists this ribosomal RNA (492 nucleotides) under uncultured bacterium. RNAcentral describes it as "partial 16S ribosomal RNA". It matches the Rfam family "Bacterial small subunit ribosomal RNA", at positions 29 to 507 of the family's 1533-position model. The record is from RNAcentral.